This 104-nucleotide small nuclear RNA is filed under the name Meleagris gallopavo (turkey). Lineage: Eukaryota; Metazoa; Chordata; Aves; Galliformes; Phasianidae. The record is from RNAcentral.
CACUUCUGCAGAAGGUACAGUAUUGCAAUUGGAAAGAUUCAGAGAAGAUUAGCAUGACCCCUGUGCAAGGAUGAAUUUUUUAAAUCGAAUUUUUAAAAAGCUGA